This 598-nucleotide ribosomal RNA is filed under the name Sphingobacterium sp. DI67. Its description in RNAcentral is "bacterial SSU rRNA". It matches the Rfam family "Bacterial small subunit ribosomal RNA", at positions 95 to 693 of the family's 1533-position model. The record is from RNAcentral. Lineage: Bacteria; Pseudomonadati; Bacteroidota; Sphingobacteriia; Sphingobacteriales; Sphingobacteriaceae.
GUGGCGCACGGGUGCGUAACGCGUAUGCAACCUACCUUAAUCAGGGGGAUAGCCCGAAGAAAUUCGGAUUAACACCGCAUAAAAUCACAGUAUAGCAUUAUACAAUGAUCAAAUAUUUAUAGGAUUAAGAUGGGCAUGCGUGACAUUAGUUAGUUGGCGGGGUAACGGCCCACCAAGACCACGAUGUCUAGGGGAUCUGAGAGGAUGACCCCCCACACUGGUACUGAGACACGGACCAUACUCCUACGGGAGGCAGCAGUAAGGCAAUGGUCAUGGAGGCACCCUGAACCAGCCAUGCCGCGUGCAGGAAGACAGCCCUCUGGGUCGUAAACUGCUUUUAUUCGGGAAUAAACCUAUCUAGGUGUAGAUAGCUGAAUGUACCGAAGGAAUAAGGAUCGGCUAACUCCGUGCCAGCAGCCGCGGUAAUACGGAGGAUCCAAGCGUUAUCCGGAUUUAUUGGGUUUAAAGGGUGCGUAGGCGGCUUAUUAAGUCAGGGGUGAAAGACGGUGGCUCAACCAUCGCAGUGCCUUUGAUACUGACUCAGCUUGAAUAUACUAGAGGUAGGCGGAAUGUGACAAGUAGCGGUGAAAAUGCAUUA